CCUACGGGGGGCUGCAGUGGGGAAUAUUGGACAAUGGGGGGAACCCUGAUCCAGCCAUGCCGCGUGUGUGAAGAAGGCCCUCGGGUUGUAAAGCACUUUCAGUGAGGAAGAACGCCUGGUGGUUAAUACCCAUCAGGAAAGACAUCACUCACAGAAGAAGCACCGGCUAACUCCGUGCCAGCAGCCGCGGUAAUACGGAGGGUGCGAGCGUUAAUCGGAAUUACUGGGCGUAAAGCGCGCGUAGGUGGCUUGAUAAGCCGGUUGUGAAAGCCCCGGGCUCAACCUGGGAACGGCAUCCGGAACUGUCAAGCUAGAGUGCAGGAGAGGAAGGUAGAAUUCCCGGUGUAGCGGUGAGAUGCGUAGAGAUCGGGAGGAAUACCAGUGGCGAAGGCGGCCUUCUGGACUGACACUGACACUGAGGUGCGAAAGCGUGGGUAGCAAACAGGAUUAGAUACCCCUGUAGUC
RNAcentral lists this ribosomal RNA (465 nucleotides) under Vreelandella stevensii. RNAcentral describes it as "partial 16S ribosomal RNA". It matches the Rfam family "Bacterial small subunit ribosomal RNA", at positions 338 to 795 of the family's 1533-position model. Lineage: Bacteria; Pseudomonadati; Pseudomonadota; Gammaproteobacteria; Oceanospirillales; Halomonadaceae. The record is from RNAcentral.